This 442-nucleotide ribosomal RNA is filed under the name uncultured bacterium. RNAcentral's name for it is "partial 16S ribosomal RNA". It matches the Rfam family "Bacterial small subunit ribosomal RNA", at positions 339 to 795 of the family's 1533-position model. The record is from RNAcentral.
CUACGGGAGGCUGCAGUGGGGAAUAUUGGGCAAUGGGCGAAAGCCUUACCCAGCAAUGCCGCGUGAGUGAAGAAGGUCUUCGGAUUGUAAAGCUCUUUAAUUAGGGACGAAGAAAGUGACGGUACCUAAGGAAUAAGCCCCGGCUAACUACGUGCCAGCAGCCGCGGUAAUACGUAGGGGGCGAGCGUUGUCCGGAAUGACUGGGCGUAAAGGGUGUGUAGGCGGUUUUACAAGUUAGUGUGUAAUACCCAGAGCUCAACUCGGGUGCUGCAUCUAAAACUAUAAGACUUGAGUGUCGGAGAGGUAAGUGGAAUUCCUAGUGUAGCGGUGGAAUGCGUAGAUAUUAGGAGGAACACCAGAGGCGAAGGCGACUUACUGGAAGAUAACUGACGCUGAGGCACGAAAGUGUGGGGAGCAAACAGGAUUAGAUACCCGAGUAGUC